UACGGAGGAUGCGAGCGUUAUCCGGAUUUAUUGGGUUUAAAGGGUGCGUAGGCGGUCUGUUAAGUCAGCGGUCAAAUGUCGGCGCUCAACGCCGGCCUGCCGUUGAAACUGGCUGGCUGGAGUUGGCGAGAGGUAUGCGGAAUGCGCGGUGUAGCGGUGAAAUGCUUAGAUAUCGCGCAGAACUCCGAUUGCGAAGGCAGCUCACUAGACUGCAACUGACACUGAUGCUCGAAAGUGUGGGUAUCAAA
This 248-nucleotide ribosomal RNA is filed under the name uncultured Muribaculaceae bacterium. RNAcentral describes it as "partial 16S ribosomal RNA". It matches the Rfam family "Bacterial small subunit ribosomal RNA", at positions 524 to 772 of the family's 1533-position model. Lineage: Bacteria; Pseudomonadati; Bacteroidota; Bacteroidia; Bacteroidales; Muribaculaceae. The record is from RNAcentral.